RNAcentral lists this ribosomal RNA (607 nucleotides) under uncultured bacterium. RNAcentral describes it as "bacterial SSU rRNA". It matches the Rfam family "Bacterial small subunit ribosomal RNA", at positions 328 to 929 of the family's 1533-position model. The record is from RNAcentral.
CUUCCAGACUCCUACGGGAGGCAGCAGUGGGGAAUAUUGCGCAAUGGGGGCAACCCUGACGCAGCCAUGCCGCGUGAAUGAAGAAGGCCUUCGGGUUGUAAAGUUCUUUCGGUAGCGAGGAAGGCAUUUAGUUUAAUAGACUAGGUGAUUGACGUUAACUACAGAAGAAGCACCGGCUAACUCCGUGCCAGCAGCCGCGGUAAUACGGAGGGUGCGAGCGUUAAUCGGAAUAACUGGGCGUAAAGGGCACGCAGGCGGUGACUUAAGUGAGGUGUGAAAGCCCCGGGCUUAACCUGGGAAUUGCAUUUCAUACUGGGUCGCUAGAGUACUUUAGGGAGGGGUAGAAUUCCACGUGUAGCGGUGAAAUGCGUAGAGAUGUGGAGGAAUACCGAAGGCGAAGGCAGCCCCUUGGGAAUGUACUGACGCUCAUGUGCGAAAGCGUGGGGAGCAAACAGGAUUAGAUACCCUGGUAGUCCACGCUGUAAACGAUGUCGAUUUGGGGGUUGAACUUUGAGUUUGGCGCCCGUAGCUAACGUGAUAAAUCGACCGCCUGGGGAGUACGGCCGCAAGGUUAAAACUCAAAUGAAUUGACGGGGGCCCGCACAAG